This 463-nucleotide ribosomal RNA is filed under the name uncultured bacterium. RNAcentral describes it as "partial 16S ribosomal RNA". It matches the Rfam family "Bacterial small subunit ribosomal RNA", at positions 28 to 507 of the family's 1533-position model. The record is from RNAcentral.
GAUGAACGCUGACAGAAUGCUUAACACAUGCAAGUCUUUGGCGAAGCUGUGCUUGCACAGCCUAGCCAAGGCGGACGGGUGAGUAACGCGUAAGGAACUUGCCCUGCAGUCAGGGAUAACAGACGGAAACGACUGAUAAAACCUGGUAAAGUCAGGCGGACUCAUGUCCAGCCUGAUGAAAAGAGAUGCUGCAGGAGAGCCUUGCGUCCUAUUAGCUUGUUGGUGGGGUAACGGCCCACCAAGGCGAUGAUAGGUAGCCGGCCUGAGAGGGUGGACGGCCACAAGGGGACUGAGAUACGGCCCUUACUCCUACGGGAGGCAGCAGUGGGGAAUAGUGGACAAUGGGGGCAACCCUGAUCCAGCAAUUCUGUGUGCACGAUGAAGGUUUUCGGAGUGUAAAGUGCUUUCAGCAGGGAAGAAAAAAAUGACGGUACCUGCAGAAGAAGCGACGGCUAAAUACGUG